GAGCCUAAAUUUAGGCUCAAGCUCGGCUUGAAAUUAAUUCGAGCUGAACUCGAGCGAGCCUAAUUUCGAGUCGAGCCGAGCUCGAGCUCUAAACGAGCCGAUUGAAAUUCUCUAUAUUAUAUAAUCAAUAGUUUAAUUUUUAUAGAACAUUACCUACAAUUUGAUGCAACAUACCCAAUAGUUCAAAAUACAAAAUAAUUAUAAGAAAUGUGAGCUAGGGUGACUUCCUGACUGGAUGAGGGUCUGAGAGAGAGAGAGAGAGAGAGAGAGAGAGAGAGGAAAAAAGUAAGGAUUUGAAAAUUUGAAUGUUAUCAUGUUUUAGGGUUAUGUACAACAGUGAAAGUCUGAAAGAGAGAGUGUGUUAUGUAAAUUUAGAGUUGGGCUCAAUUGCACGGUUGUACUUGUUGGGUUUAUUUUAUAGGCCAAUAAUAAUGGCUAAAAUUAAAUUAAAGCCUAUAUAUAAUUAAAAUACAUUAUAUUUAUAAAUAUUAUAUAACCAACUACCCACUCAACCCUAGGGGACCACUAUCAUUCUAAGUGGGGACCACCAUUAUCCUAACCACACAUCCCAUCAAUCAACGGUUAAAAAUUUAUGAGUAUAAGGGGGUCUAUACUCAUAAGAGUAUAGUAGCCCCAGCCUAUAUAUAUAUAUAUAUAUAUAUAUAUAUAUAUACUACUAUACUAUUAUGAGUACGAUCGCCCUCGUACUCAUAAGUUGUUUUCGAUUAUAGAGCUUGCGAAUCGACGAUCCACACCGUUAAACGUUAUCUAGAGCAUUUAAAACCUUUAAAAAUCAAAUUUUAUAAUUUUUCGACAUCAUUUACCUUACGAUCAAAAGGUCACAAAAUUGACAAUUUUUAACGGCCGGUAUUAGAGAUUUGCUAGUUUAACAAUAUAAAAGAAUCGAAAUCAGUUGAAUAUUUGAUAGAAAAUUCUAUUCACUACAUAUAUAAAGAUCAAUAACUUCGAUCUUAAAUUGAAGGAUCCGAAGCUUGGANCAACAAUAAUGGCCCAAAUUAAAUUAAAGCCUAUAUAUAAUUAAAAUACAUUUUAUAUAUAUAUAUAUAUAUAUAUAUAUAUAUAUAUAUAGAGUCCGACUACUAUACUUUUAUGAGUAUUGGCUCUCUUAUACUCAUAAGUUUUCGGCCCUUAGAUUUAUUUUAUGAUCAUUUUCACCCGUUAGAUCAUACAAUUCAACCAACUACCCACUCAACCCUAGAGGACUACUAUUAUUCUAAGUGAGGACCACCAUCAUCCUAACCACACAUCCCAUCAAUCAACGGUUAAAAAUUUAUGAGUACAAGGGGUUCUAUACUCAUAAGAGUAUAGUAGCCCCAGCCUCUCUCUCUAUAUAUAUAUAAAAUAAAAUUAAAAAUAAUAAUUAAAUAUUUAUGAUGUUAUACCAUAUAUUUAACUAGUAAUUAACCUUUGCCAAAAUAAUAUUCCUAGAUAGUUGUUCCAUCCGGUUUAAAAAAAAAAAAUACUACUUGUACAUCCCAUCAGGGUGUAUAAGUUACAUCCGACUCAUUGGAUGGGUAGGGUGUUAACUACCACUCUACUAGUCACAUCAAGCGACGGGUGAAAACACCUCACCUAUGGGAUGAGUGGGGUAUCUAUGUAGUAUUGCUCUUUUUCAAAUAUUAGAUUUUUAAGUUAAAAUAUAUAAAAUCUUUCUACACUUUAGUGAAUUUUAAAGGCUAAAUUACAAAAAAUCUUUCUGUCAAUACAUAUUUUUUUACUUUCCCCCCGUAUUUUGAAACCUAUACUUUGCCCUUUAAAAAAUAAAAAAGUGUUCAUUUUAGCCCUCGUCGUCAAUGUUUCAUUAGUGUUCCGUUUAUAUCCUAUUUUUAUACCCAAAAUAUCCCUAAAACCCUCAUUCUUCAUCACCGACAUCCUCGGCCGCCGCCUUGCCCUCGCUAGGGAUGCAAACGGGGUGGAUCUGGGGGUGGGAGCCCCGCCCCGCCUCCCGCCCCGACUAGCAAAAUCUCGCCCCGCCUCCCGCCCAGAAUCCGUGACGAGUUAAAAAAUACAUCCCAUAAUCCGCCCCGCCUCGUAACUAGCCUCCCGCCAGCGCCUCGAAUCCGCCCCGCCAACUAAUAUUUUUUAUAAAAUUAUAAUAUUAUUAAUAUUUUAUAAAAUAUAAAUUAAUAAUUUUUAAUAAUAUUAUAUAUAUAAUUUAACAAUAUUAAUUAUAAAAAUUAAAAAUAUCAAUCACAAUUCAAAACAAAAUCCAAAAGAUUUAAGAUUACCUAUAGAAAUGAGAGUACUAACUUAUUUGUUUUUGAACUUUUUUAUAAAUAUAUUAUUUUUUAAGAUAUUAAAUAUAAAUAAUUUUCGGGCGGAUUUGGGCGGGAUCAUGGGGGGCGGAUUCGGGGCGGGUCAAAAAUUUUCCCGUUUCCUGCCCCGAAUCUUUCUCGGAUCGUAAAAUUUACCCUGCUUCCCGCCCCGAAUCCGUUUAUUUUCCCCCAUUUACUGCCCCCGUCGGGGCGGAUCGGGGCGGGAGCUCCACCAACCCAGAUCCAUAUGCAUCCCUAUCCCUCGCACAGCCUCUGUACAUGCCCACACACAUGCCCUCGCCCCCCUUUGCCGCCUCACCCUCGCCCUGGCUCAUCUCUCCAUCCAUGCCGACUUCAAUCUUUCUCUCUAUAGUCGCAAAAUGGAGGGGCGGCGGGGUUGCUGGAGAGCGGGAGAGCAAGUGGAGGAAACGGAAUCGGAGUUGGGGGUCAAGGAAGGCGCGAAGAAAUGAAGGAGGAAAGGUUGCGGCUGAGGAGGAGAGGCUUUGGAUUGAGUAGAAGACGAAGAGGAUGCAGGGCAUUUUGGUCAUUUUAUCACAGUGUGCCCCUCUGUGAAUAUUUUUAAUAUUUUAAGGGAGCAAAGUGUAGGCUUUAAAUGACAGAGGGAGAAAGUAAAAAAAGGGAUACUGAUAAAGGGUUUUCUACAAUUUAGCUAAUUUUAAAACUGAUCUAGAAACUCUUUUUUUAUAACGAAUGUUAGGCCUACAAUCCUUUUUGAAUUGAAAUUACACAACCUCUCAUCCAACGUUCCUUUCUCUCUCAAAAAAAGAAAAAAAUGAACGAAGUGGUUGGAACAAAAGAGCGGAUAUGUUAGGCCUACAAUCUCUUCCUUUUUUUUUUCUUUAUUAAUCAUUUCUAGCGCAAGUGACAAAUGGUUUGGCGGUUAGUAUUCGAGGUCUCAAGUUCGAAACCUAAUUGUUUACGCUCAAAGCUAGUUUAAUACUUGUUAAGUUUUAAAAUACCAAAUUUAUCCUAAAUAGUUUUAAAUUUUAUAGUUAGAUUUUUAAUUCAAAUUUAAUUUAAAUUUUGAUCUUAGAUUCAUAAAUUCUAAUUUUAGAUUUAAAUUUAUUUUAUUUUAAAUUUAAAUUCUGAUUUUGGAUUCGAAUUUUACAUGAAAUUCAAUUUUGAAUUCAAAUUGAGAUUUUGUACUUAAUUUUACUUACAAAUCUAGAUUUUUUGAAUAAGUUUUGGAUUUAAUUCCAAACUUUCAUUUGAAAUUCAAAUUCAAAAAUUCAGAUUCAAAUUUAGAUUUGAAAUCAACUUUGUAAUUUUAAGUUUAAAUAUUGAAUUCAUAUUUAAAAAUUAAAUUCAAAAUUUGAAUUUAAAUAUUAAUUUCUAAUUCAAAUUAUUUGUGUAAUAUAUGCGUGAUGAUGAAAAUUAUCUAUAAAAAAUUAAGAGAGUAAUUUUGAAUUUUUGAAAAAAUUUAAAAAAUUUACAGGGUAUUAAUGAUAUAAUGGAUAUCGGUCAAGUAGGUAUUUUGUAACUAUAAUGGUCAUUUUUAGAGAGAGACUAACCAUUAGAGGUAUUCGUGAUAUUCGUGAGACAUGCGUUACAUUAUUAAGGCUAAAUUAUAUAAAAAAAUUCUUGUAAAUGCCUGUUUUUUUACUUUUCUUUCCUAACUUUCAAAAACCCACAUUUUGUCCCCUUAAAAUUUCAGAAAUGUUUCAGGGGUACGACAUUAAUGGAGAAGGCAAAAUUACCAAAUUACCUUUAUUUCUUUUAUAAGAACAAUUAAUAUUUUCUUAAUAUAUUGUUAUUAUUUUGAAGGAUAUUUUCGGUACAAAUUAUAAGAAAUGGACGGAAUAGUGCUAGAACUGUAGCACACUGGACCUUUGCAAAUUGCGAGGUUCGAGUGUUUGAUCUGUGUUCCGAGUUUUUUCAGGUAUUCUGGAGGGUCGUUGACGGUGUUUCGACCUAUGCCUCGCAUCUCGAGAAUCGAGGUUUAAAAUUUAGCACCGAAGUCUCUAAAGUGAAGAUUGUUGGCUGCUCUCAGGUUGGACACUGCAGAGCAGAGUACCGGUACAGCAUCGGGCCUGUACCGGAACCAGACCCGGUAUCGGUACAGCAUUGGACUUGUACCGGUACCCAGUAUAUUUUUCUGCAAACCCGAGGCUCAGGUUGGCGCAGACUGCUGCUUGGUACCGGUACUCUUUUCCGUGUACCGGUACACAGUGCAGUGCAGACUACACGUGUAACAUACUGGACCUUUGCAAAUUGCGAGAUUCGAGUGUUUGAUUAGUGUUCCGAGUUUUUCUAGAUAUUCUGGAGGGUCGUUGACAGUGUUCCGACCUAUAGCUCGUAUCCCGAGAAUUGUAGUUUUUAAAGUAGCGCUAAGGUCGCUAAUGAUAGACUUAGGCUGCUCUCGUAUUGCAUUUUUAGGGACUGUGUACCAGUACACCUUGAUGGUUGUACCGGUACAGAAAGUGUACCGGUGACAACUCGAUUGUUGUACUGGUACAGAUGGAAUUUUCUGCCAAUCCGAGUCUCGGGUUUGCGCGCAUAGGGUUUUGUACCGGUACACUUUCCCGUGUACUGGUACACAAUGCAGAUUUCAGUCUGCGAGAACUGAGAAGUGUUUUUACAAUUUAGCCUAUCUACAAAUAUGCCCCACGCCCCUUGGUGUUCUCCUAAGCCCAGAUCAGUAGAGAAGAGAGGUAGGGACCCCUCUCUUGAUUUCCUUUCCAUUUUCUUGCAUUUUAGCCCAUUUUGAUCAUCUCUUUUUGCUUCUCCUUAUUCUUUGUUGGGAUUUCCACCUUGGAGAAGUAUUAGAUUGGAGAUUGGUGCUUGUGGGAAGGAAGAUCUUCAACCUUAGUGAUCUUGGAGCCUUGUUUUGGAGCUCUUGUGAGGUUAGUAAGCCUAAUCUACUUCUUGAUUCAUGUUUUAGUAACUUUUACUAAAGGAAACCCUAGAUUGAGCAUAUUAGGGUUAGUAAUGGGGAUUUUGGAUUUGAGGGUUUUGGAGCCCAAUUGAUCUUAUUAGAAUCUUUGUUUAGGUUGGAUUAGAGGGCCUCUAACUCUCUUUUUGGAGAUCGAGAGAGGUUUCUUCGCAUUCGGUGAGUUUUCUUCACCUUUGCUUGAGUUGCUUAAUAUUUGAGCAAUGGGUUGUUUGUAACGUUCGCGUAUCCCUCCUUUUGUUACCUUUAGGGUACUAAGAGAGUAGUGGGCACCUUCGUCGGCGCAAACGAAAAGUUUCGAGAAGUCACGGUGGGUUUGGCUUCAUUGGAAUAUGAGAAAUCUUCUCUUAAGUGGUUAAAAGUUGUUGUUUCAUCAAAAUGCAUGCAUAUUCAUGCUAGAUAGAAUUUUUAUGAAUUUUAGAAUACUUAAAAUGCAUGCGUUAUGUUUUAUAAAAAAAUUGACUCUAUGUAGUAGAGGGCUAAGUGUAUUACUCAUGCAUAUGAUUAGUAUUCUAUUUUGUAAGUUGGAAUAUGUCUCAUGUGUUGGAAAUGGUUAGAAUUAAGUGCGCUGUGACACCAAACUCAUGUUUGAACACAUUGGACAAAAGUGCCAUAAAGGGGCACCCAAACUAGUAAACAAUUGAACUGCAACAUAGUAACAUAUUGAUAGGCCAUUGUGACAUCAACUAUAUUCCAUGUUUUAGACAUGAUGACAUAGUGAUAGGUCAUUGAGGUAUUUGCUACAUUCCAUAUUUUAGACAUGCUAACUUGAGACUUGAGACGGACUUUUACGCUUGCUUGCCAUUGUACUCAUUCGCACAUGCUUGUAAGGGUCGCUUCCCACAAGCCGGCACUCCGGAGAUAGCCAUCGCGACACAUGCUCGCCCGUGCGGGAUUGGGCGCCGAAAUGGGAUGCUGUGGGGGAGGCUCAUUCCUAGAGUGGGGAUGUUGACUACCACGGGGCCAUUAGGCACGGCGCAGGCCGGACUACCCACAGGUAGGUCCUACAGGAUUGGAACAUUGGUGACUUAGUAUACUGAGCAAAAAUUGACUAGAAUAAUAAACAAUGACAUUUUACUAUUUAGCUUGUGGACAUUAUGUUAGUUGUAACAUUGGACAUUCAUGUUACAGCAGCUUUAUUACCUAUGCAAAUUCAUGCUAAGUAGAGAUAUCAUGAUUUAGUAAGUAUUCAUGUUUAAAUACUUGUCAUUCAUAUUGCUUAUUUAUUCUUACUUACCUGCUUAGUUUUCGUGCCUAGUGGCGCAUUGCACUGAAGUCAGUAAUUGCCCAUUAGGAACUAUUAUUUAAUAGUUCUCACGCCCUCUGUUUUAUGAUUUUCUUUCAGAGCCUUCAGCACCGGUGGAGGUACGGGAUCGCGGCAAAAGGGUCUCGUAGCUAGAUAACAAGGAUUUACAUUUUGCUUAGGUGGUUUUCUCUCUUAUUGUUUGUUGUUGAGAGAGAGAGAGAUGUUUUGUAUCCAUGUAUAAAGACCACCAUUGUAUUACUUUUAGCACUUGUGUUUGGAUUUCAGAUGUACUACCUUAUCGUUUACUUUUAGUGGAUUUUAUUCUUUCGCUUAUUCCUCUUUUGUAAAAUCUAGUUGUACUUCGCUCUGAUACUCCUAGAUGUUCUUCUUCUAUUGCUUUAUUUAUCGUUUUAUUGUAGACGCCUUAUAUAUUUUAGACGUAUGGCGGGUCUGGACAUGCACCGGGCGGGCUUCCGCUGGGUCUCGGGGCGUGACAGCACGUUGUUGGAGGGUGUUUUUGCAAAUGUUGCAACUCUAUAUAACCCUACCACAGCCCCUUGAGGACUCUUUUGAGCCCUAGAAUGUGGAGAACACAAGUGAGACCUCUCUCCCUUGGUUUUCUCCAAUUUUUGCUUGGUUUUAGCUAGUUUUGAUCUCUCUUUUUUUCUCCUCUUUGCUCUAUGUUGGGUUACCACCAUUGGAGAAGCCUUGAAGCUUUACUUGGAGCUUGUUGGAGAGGAGAAUCUCAACUCUAACAACUUCCUAGCUAGGUUUGGGACUUCAAGAGAGGUUAGUAAGCUUGAUCUAUCCUUUAGAUCAUAUUUUUGGAGGAAUUUUGUAUGUAAACCUAGAAAUGUGAAAUCUAGGGUUUAAUUGGGGAUUUUUGAUUUGUGGCUUUUGGAACUUAAUUGAUAGGUGUAGAACAUCUCGUUGGGGUAGAUUUGAAGUGCUCUAGCCUCAUUUUUGAAUUUGAGAGAAUUUUUUUACACUUUAGGUGAGUUUUGCCUUAUUCUUGGGUUGAGUUGAGAUGAACACUUUGGGUGUUCGUUCCUUGUGUCUAACCCCCUUAGAAUUUUCUUUAGGGAGCUAAGAGACUCGUGGACACCUUCGUCGAAGCAAACGAAAGGGAUUCGAGGAGUCUUGGUGGGUUUGACCUCACUGAAAUGAGAUAAUUCCACCUAUGUCAUUCUAAAUAUUGUAAAAUAAAAAAUUAUGCAUAUUCAUGCUAGAUAGGGUAUAUGUGAAUUUUAGAAUGCUUAAAAUGCACAUGUUAUGUACAAUAAAAAUUUGGACCUCUAUGUAGUAGAGAGUUCAAUAUGUUGGGUUAUGCAUUUGGAUAUCAUUCUUAUAUGUGGCUUGGGAUUAUGUUCAUGUAGUGAAAAUGACAAGUACAAUAUGCUCUUGGAUUUAGGACUCAUGUUGGACAUAGGAGAAAGUAUAAUGUCAUAAAGAGACAUUAAACUUGGAUUAUGCUUGACAUAGUAAAUCUAAUGUCAUGAAGUGGCAUUAGAUGUAGUAAAUGGUUGAACCUUACAUUGUGACAAAGAACUAGACCUUCGGGGUUGCUAGUAUUUAUAUCAUGUUCGGACAUGAUGACAUUGAACUUGAGACAGCUGAUUAUGCUUGCUUGCCAUUUGUGCUCAUUCGCACAUGCUUGUGAGGGUCGCUCCCUACAAGCCGGCACUCCGGAGUUAGCCUACGCGGCAUACGCUCGCUCGUACGGUAUUGAGAAGCCUACUGGACCGGGUGGGAUAGACUCAUUCCUAGAGUAGAAUAUUGGGGCUACCACGGACAAUUAGGCGGCACAAGCCGGACUACACUUGUAUAGAUCCUAAAAUUGAGAUUGGAUAUUGACAAUUAACCUUUAACAUGAUAAUCACUACUACAUAGCUUCUAGUAGUUGGAUUCUUGGGACAUGCUUGGGACUUGCUAUUGGACAUAUGGUUACUUGUUUAGACAUGAUAGUAUACAUAUUUGACAUGUUUAUAGUAUACUAGAAUAUUCAUGUGAUAUACUCGUUCAUGUUGGGCUAGCUAUUGCAAUUGUGCAAUUUCACACUAAGUAGACGCAUAGUAGUGUAGCAAUUUAAUACUUGUUAAUCAUUCAUAUAUUCACUUUCAGUUACAUACUUCUACUUAUGCUUCUGGGCCUAGUGGUGCUUUCUCGCUGAGGUCAGCAAUUGCCCACUGGAAACUAUUAAUUAUAGUUCUCACACCCCCUGUUUUGUUGUUUCUUUACAGAGCCUUUCACGCCGGGAGAGGCUCGAGAUCGCGGCAAGGGAGUUGCCUCUAGUUAGUUGUGGGAGCUUCGCUUUUAAGUGGUUCACCUCUCUUUUUGUUUUAUUUGGAGAGGUUGAGAGUUUUGUACCCUAUGUAGUGACCACCACUUUUGUAUAUUUAGCUCUUAUAUUGGAACUUGAUAUAUCUACCUUAUGAUCUUAUCAGUUGUGUAGCUCUUUUACUUUUUCCUCUUAUCAUUAGAAUUUAUCGCUUGUUGUAGGCGCCUUAUGUUGUAGGCAUAUAGCGAGUCUGGACACGCACCGGGCGGGCUUCCGCUGGGUCUCGGGGUGUGACAAGAACCCUAAGAGGGGAACUAAAUACAACAACUUGAAAUAUUGAGAGAGUAAAAUAUAGAUUUUUAAGAGUUAUGACGGAAAAGUGAAAAAAGAGUAUUUAUAAGAAGAUUUUUAUAAUUUGGCCUAUCAUUAAAUUUAGGAGAGUAUCAAUAAUAUUACAGUACGCAUGGGAGGCAUUUAUGAAAUUAUUUCUUAACUAAAAACACCAAAGGUGUUGAUAAAUACUUUGAAAUAAUUGUUUACAAGACCAUGUUUGGAUGUCCCUUAUGUAUUUUUAAAAUAUAUAGAUUAGUAAAUUUUGAAAUUUUGUAAUAUGGAGUAACAUGAACCUGAGCCUUUUUCUCUGGACAAAAGAAAAGAAAUGAAAAAAGACAAACCUGCUAUCUCUCUCUCUCUAGUCUUUAUUUUUGAAGUGUUUAGUUGACGUUAUCUGUCUCUGUACAUUUAUAAUACAAUUUUAUUUUAAUUUCUAAUUUAAAUUGGGAAUGGUCUAUUGCGAUCUACUGUUAAAUUCUUAAAAAAUUGGGAAUUUAAUAGCGUAAGUUUUUUUUUUGUUUUUUUUUUUUUUUUGUGAAUGAAGGGUGAAAUUUUUUGUGCAUAAGGUUGUUCUCCCUCUCUCUUCUUCUUGUUAUUAGAUUACAUUAUUCUUAUUGAUAUUUUUACCGAUCUAGCUAUGCCUGCAUAAGGUUGUUCUCCCUCUCCCUAGCUAUGCCUUUCCUCUUUUAUCUUUCAUUUUUAUUUUUAUUUUUUUAAUUUCAUAUAUCUCUGUUUUCUUCUUUUUUCGUCUUCGGAAGCCGUAGUUGCUUCCAUCCUGUACGCUUAAUUCAUCUUGCUUUAUGAAUGAAGCAGGUAGCUUGCUGUCUUUCUCUCAAAAAAAAUAUUAAUACAACCGUUCUGAAAUUACUAUUCAUUGAUCACAAAUAGGGCGUAAAUGAUUCGGACAUUCAUUGAUAGGACGUAAAUGAUUCACACAUGGCCAUCAAAACUAAUAAAUUGAUCCAAAAAGUAAGGAAAAUUUAGGAUGUGUUUAGUUUGACGAAGCCUUAACCACAAAGAACCGACAGGUUCCUUUCGUGCAUGGAACUCGACAUCAAAUGAGUGAGAGAAUCGUUGCGAUCUCAUCUUAGGAUGCAUAAGAAGGCAUAGUUUGUCUCAACCCCUAAGUCCUAUGACUUUUGUCUCACCAAAUGUAGGAUCUUUAAAAGUAACACGAGUUUGUCGAUGGAUUCAGCUUGUGCUUUAACCCUUCAAAAUACUCCUUAAUAAGUUUCUACUCGUUUUUUAUGAAAUUAACAGGUCAAUAUUUUUAACUAGAAAUAAAUUGGAGCUAGAAUUGGCCAAUCCUUUUUGCUUUGGACUUACCUAACUCAAUGAAUGAUCAAGAUCAAUUGAUAGUGCGUAAUCCGCUACGGUACAUUUUUGUAAUACUUCAAUAUAAAACAAUACUAUCUUUGAUUAUCAUUGACCAUAUCUAUACGUAGUUGGCAAAAUACUUGACGGUUGGCACUCGAGUUCUAUAUUCAAAACCUAGCUACUUCACAUUUCUAGCUAGACCUGGCAAUCUCGAUUCAAACCCGUGGGUGCCCACAGAUUACCAGCAAAUUUGCAGGUAUGGGUACCAACUUUUUCAACUGAAAAAAUUACGGGUAAAACGGAUGGGUACCUAUUAAGCUGUGGGUAUUUUCAGUAACUCGCGGGUAUCCAUAUGUACCCGCACAUAUAUUUUUUAAUUACAUAAUAUAUUUUCUUAAUUAAUAUAUAUAUAUAUAUAUAUAUAUUUAUUUAUUUAUUUAUUUAUUUAUUUAUUUAUUUAUUUAUCAAUCAUAAAAAUCCUAAUUCUAAUUUCUUAUUGUGUGUCUUUUAUAUUAUGAAAUAUUUUUACUUUAAGACUCUAGACUCCGUUUGGUUCGGGAAUUAGUAGAAACUAGUUAUACCGGGGAUAGGUACAAGUAUGGGUUUUUCUAAGAACAUGGGUAUUUUUUUGUUUGGAUGAAAAUGUGAGUAUAAACUGAAACUAGAAAAAUUGUGUUUGGAUGAAAAUGUGAGUAUAAGGUGGAAUGGUUGGUAGUUAUAAAUAGAAAAUAAUGAUAUUACCUCUAUAAUUGAAUUUAAAAUUUUAAACUUAUAAUUUUAAAUUAAAAAUUUUAACUUUUAAAUUUUAAAUUUUGAAAUUAAAAUUUAAAAUUUUAAUUUUCAAAUUUUUAAUUUUAAAUAUCAAAUUUUAAAUUUAAGACGAAAUUUGAAUUUGAAAGAUAUAAAAUAUCAAAUUUAAAACUUUAAAACUAAAAAUAUCAAAUUUAAAAUUUAAAAUUUAAAAAUAUCAAAUUUAAAAUUUAAACUUUAAAAUUUAAAAUUUAAAAUUAUAAAUUAUAAAUUUUAGAAAUUUAAAUUUAAAAUAAAAAUCUCUCUCUCUCUCUCUCUCUUUCUCUACCGGGGAAAAAUUCUAAAAUGCAACGGGUAUAUUGGUGACGUGGCGUAACAAACCAAUCAAAUGUCGCAUUUUAGAGGUAUAUGUCCCAUCAUGAUUAUAAAAAAAUAUUUUUAUUGUACUUUUAUUUGAAAAAGAAGGAAUGUGAUUGGCUUGUUAUUGAUAACGUGGUGCAUGUGUGAUAGAGUAGAAUUCCUUCUACCGGAGGGGGGUGGGGGAGAGGAACAAGGGCUUUGUACUACCGGGUUGGGUGGGAACAACUAGUUCCCACCCUCCAAAAUCAUGUUUGGGUAUAAAGGGGAGGAUAACCCCCUUAUUCCCCUUUAUACCCGAUCCAAACGGUAGCUAAGUAUUUUUAUUUUAUAUUAUGAUAUUUUAAAUAAUGAGUUAUAUUACACUUUUAAAACUUAGAUAUAUGUAUUUUACAUUUAGAAAAUAUAAGAGCAAAAAAAAAUUAUGAAUAACCCGCAUACUCACCCGCCCACCAGCAGGCGGGUAUGGGUAAAGAUGUUGGCUAUCUAAAAAUUUAUAAAUAUGUCCAAGUAACCCACAGAUACAAUGAGCUGCCCACGAGUUCCAUUUGCCAAAUCUAUUUCUAGCUGAAUUUAUAUCUAAAAAAUAAACAAAGUAAAUAACUUGUCAUUUUUCUCUCAAAAGAAUUUAUUACCUUGAAUUAUAAAAAUAUGGAUACAAGAUCCUAAAUUUUAAUCAACUUUUAGUUUAAUUCUCAAACUUCUAAAUACAACAUUCGAGAUUCCAAACUUGUAUGAUUGUUUUGCAAAUCCUUAUAUAAUUUAAUAUAUUUAUCCAUAAACUAAUAUUUAUAUGGCCAAUUUGCAUAAAAAAUUCACUUAUUUUGGGCUUUUGCAAAAGCGGGCCACAUUUUUCGUUUUUUGCAGAUUCGGUCCGCUUUUUCAGCAAACUAACCAAAAUACCUUUAUACCUUUUUCUUUCUCCUAUUUUUUUUUUUCUCGUUCUUUUUUUCUUUCUCUUCCCAGAGAGCGGCGGAAGCGGAGGCAGCCUACUUUGAUUUUGUCCGGCGCAUCCUUACCCUCGCCCGUACAUCCCCCACCUUCCUCGCCUUCGACCCCACCGAAGCCGUGUCGCGACUCUUUUUUUUUUCCCUCUCCGACUCUCCUCCACCGUCUCCGACGACGACGCCUUUCUCGCCCUUUCUCGCCUUUUCUUUCCCUUCCCCGCCCUUCUUGCCCUAUCCCUCUCCCUCUCCCUCCUCCUUCGCCGCCUCCGACAACGACGCAUCUUCCCCGGCGCCGAUACCGUGGAGGUCACUGCGGCGUUGCAGCCUCGGAGCGGGGGUCCUUAGCGGUGUCGUCGCCGGCGCCGUGGCCAUUGGCAGAGAGAGGUGGCCAAAAAAAAUUAUAGAAGAAAAAAGAAAAAAAAAACAAAGAUAAAAAUUUAUAGAAAAAAGAAGGAUGAAGAUGAAAUUGCAUUGUUAACUGCAAAAAAAUUAUAAGUUGCACUACAUAAGAUAUAAACUGCAGGUUUAAGAUGAAAACUACACUCUUUAAACGAAAAUUACACUCUUUGGGAGAUAUUUACACUGUUUCUCCUCUUAUUGCAUUUUUUUAGAUAUAAACUGUAUCCAUUAAGAUGAAAGUUACACUCUUUAAACGAAAGUUGCACUCUUUGUAUUUCUCCUCUUCUUGCACUCUUUGAGAUGUAAACUGCAUCCCUUCAAGAGAUAUUUAUACUGUUUCUCCUCUUGUUGCACUAUUUUUCCUCUUGUUACACUAUUUUUUAUCUUAAACUGCACCCUUUAAAAGGAGAAAUAGUAUAAUAAGAGGAGAAAUAGUGCAACAAAAGAAAAAAUAGUGCAACAAGAGUAGAAACAGUAUAAAUAUUUCUUAAAGGGGUGCAGUUUUCAUCUCAAAGAGUGCAAGAAAAGGAGAAAUAGUGUAAAUAUCUCUCAAAGAGUGCAACUUUCGUUUAAAGAGUGUAACUUUUAUCUUAAUGGAUGCAGAUUACAUCUAAAAGAGUGCAAUAAGAAGAGAAACGAUGUGAAUAUCUCCCAAAGAGUGUAAUUUUCGUUUAAAAAUUAUAAUUUUCAUUUUAAAGCUGCAGUUUACAUAUUAAGUAGUGCAACUUAUAAUUUUUUUUUUUACAGUUAACGAUGUAAUUUCAUCUUCAUCCUUUUUUUCUAUAAUUUUUUAUCUUUAUUUUUUUUCUUGUUUCUUUUAUAAUUUUUUUGGGUCACCCGUCUCUCCCAACAGCCAGGCACCGGCGACGACGCUUUUAAGGACCUCCCGCUCCGAGGCUGCAGUGCCGCAGCAACCUCCACGGUUUUCGGCGCUGACGAAGAUGCGUUGUCGUCGGAGGCGGCAGAGGAGGAGGGAGAGGGAGAGGACGAGAAGGGCAGGGAAGGGCGAGAGAGGCGUCGUCGUCGGAGACGGUGGAGGAGAGUCGGAGAGAAAAAAAAAAAAGAGUCGCGGCGGGGUCGGAGGCGAGGAAGGUGGGGGUGCGUGGGCGAGAGCAAAGGCGAGGGCGAAAGCAUAAGGGUGAGAGGCGGACCGUUCCACCUCCGCAGACCAUUUCCACCUCCGCCUCCGCCUUCGCUACUUUUUUCCGCGAGAGAAAAAAAAAAAGAACGAGAGAACGAAGAGGAGAGAGAAAGAGGAUCGAGAAAAAGUAAUAAGGAUAUUUUGGUCAGUUUGCUUAAAAUUCGGACUGAAUCUGCAAAAUCAAAAAAGGCGGCCCAGUUUUGCAAAAACCCAAAAUUAGUGGAUUUUUUAUGCAAAUUGGCCUAUUUAUAUUGAUGAACCAUUAAUAUUAAUAUUUUUAUUAAUCUAAUUAAUUUUUUUUACUAGUUAUCUAAUAAAAUAAUUUACUACCUAAUUAAAAAGUUAAAUUAUUUUUUAUAAUUAAUUAAUUAAUUAAUAUAUUUUUAUUAUCUUAUACAAUAUUUAGGGUUGUCAAUGGAUACAGAUAUUCAAACCCAAAUCCGAAUGGAGCAAAUUUAUCCGAUACUAAAUGAAUAUGGUUUCGAAUAUGGAUAUCAAAAAUAAAAAUCCAAUGGAUAUAAAUAUGGAUAUAGAUUUUGACUGUAUCCGAUCCGAAUUUGACCCGAAUCUGAUCCGAAACCGAAUUUAUUUUACAUUAUAUAUAAUAAUAUGUAUAUAAAAAUUUGAUAUUAUAUUUGAAUUUAUAUUUUAAAACUUUAAAUUCAAUAUAAUAUAUUUUGAAAUAUUGAAAAAAGAAAUAAUUGUUUCGGGUUCAGAUUUGGGUUCGAGUUUCAGGUUUUUGAUCGAGUUCGAGUUUGGAUAUGAAUUUUUAAAAUUUGUCGGUUCGGAUUCGGAUUUCGGGUUUGUAGUCGGGUUCGGGUUCGGGUUCAGAUUCGGAUUUUUGAAAAUCCGCUCCGAAUCCGACCGGUUGACAUCCCUAACAAUAUUCAUAGCUAAUAAAUUUAUUUGUUAAUUUAUUAAAUUAUUUUUAAUUAAUAUUUUGAUGUUAAUUAAUUAGAUAAAAUAUUUUUAAUUUAAAAUUUUAGCUCUUAUUUCUCUUGUUCCAAUCUAAUCAUUCAAAUAUUAUUUACCUAAUUCUCAGAAACAACCCAAUUUUCUUUCAAACGUAAAAUUGCUCUAAUUUUUAUUUAGGCUUCUUUUGUAUAUAGCCCCCUCUUAAUUUUUUUUUUCAUAAAUAACUCCACGAAAUUUAUAAGACGUAAGUGCGAUAUAAGCGCCACAUUAGCGGCUGUAAAGGGUUAAGUUGAACACGAUGGAUGAUUCACCGUGUUUGGUCGGGCUCAGCAGUAGCCAACCCUACAGUGCAAGAGAACUCAAACAGCACUACAGUGCAUUUUAGCUUAAACAGGGUGAAUCAUUUACCGUGUUUAGUUCACCAUAUUUAAUUUAUACUAGCCAGUCGCUGACGUGGCGCUUGCGUAGUUGGAAUAAUGCGAGUUUUGCAAUUAUAAGUUUCGUGAAAUUAUUUAUGAAAAAAAUUUAUAAGAGAAACUGUAAAACCUUUUUUUUUAAUUUAUAUUUGAACUUAUGUUUAUUUCUAAAAUAAAUAAUUUUUUCGGCUGAAAUUUUAUCGGCGUGUGAACAAACUCCCACCUCGAGAUCCGUCUCCGAGUCCAAGUCGUGUUUCCUGGCACGGUGGACUCGCAGCCGACACGCUUUUUCCGCUCUCGGAUAGCCAGACCAAUCCACUUCGCUCAGCAUCCGACACGUGUACAGUUCCCUCUAGACGAACGGUCGAGAUCAUUACCCCAAACUGUUCCUUUUCAUCUCUUUUUAUGUAUGGGGACCCCUCAAUUACACGACGUGUUGAAAUAGAUAACUUUUUGAUUGAUAUUCUCUUAAUUUUUAUUUUUUUUAAUCUGAAUUAUGGAUAUUUUUAAUUGGACAAUUAAACCUUUCAAAAUUAUUUAAUUUUUAAAUUAUUCGAUUUGAGUCGGCUAAUGACACUGUGAUCGUAAAAUUUGAAUGCAAGUCUUAUAAACUAUAAAUUUAUUAAAAUAAAUAAUUAGUUUAAAUUUUAAAAUUAAAAUGUUGUUGGCCGGCUCAAAUUAAACAAAUUGAAAGAUUAGGUAAUAAAAUUAAAAUUUUAAAAGGUUGAGUAACCAACUCAAAAGGGGCCUAUAGUUCAUAUAAGUUACAUACAUUUUAAACUAUUUUUUAAAAUUUAAAAUUUUAUGAUUAAUUAAGUUAAAAUUUUAUUAAAUUUUACGGCAAAAUUAGAAUUUUUUAGUUAAUUAAUCGAGUUUUAUUUGUGACAAGUAGACUCCUCAACUUUAUUUUAUUUUAUUUUUUAACUAGCAAUCCUUUGACUUCUAUUUUUUAAUUAAGUUUUCAUAGUUAGUUAAGUUACAAAUUUUGUUAAAUUUGGUAGCUCAAUUAGCUACUACUAGGUAAUUUAUCUAAAAUUAUUCACUAUGAAAUAGUUUCAACUAUUAAAUCUAAUAAAACUAUCAAUCAAUUGGUAAAAUUUUUAAUUCACUUGGCUAAGAACACUCAAUUUUUUUUUUAAAAAGUUGAGUGUUUUUAAUUCACAAGAAAAGAUAAAAAUGUACGGAGUUUACUUGAUUUAUGACCCAUUUUGAUCCAACUACUUAACCCUUAAAACUUUAAUUUUGUUAUCUAACAUUUUAAUUUAUUUGAUUCGAGUCAUUUAAUGGCUCCUAAGUUUAAAAAUUUCAAUACAUCAUUUAUUUUUCACGAGCCUAAUUAGCAUAUUUUAUAUAAUUUAUAUAACUAUAAUUUUUGAAAGUAAAUAAUGGGACUAAAAUUUAUAUAAAAGAGUCAUCAAAUGAUUUAUAUCAGAUAAAUAGGAAGAUUGAGUAUCAAAAGCAAAAUUUUUAAGUGGUUGAAUCAAAACGGUUUAAAUGUUCGGAUAAAUUCUAUACUUUUUUUAUUUCAAAAAAAUAAAAGUUGGGAAGUUUCUUUCAAAAUUGUAUAGUUGAGGGGGCUUCAUACAUUUUCACCCACUAUAAAACCCAGAGACCGUGUUCGUCUCAAUCCCUUUUCGCCAAGGAAAAGGGCGAGAGGAGGGGGAGGGGAUUCGCCUCUCUCUCUCUCUCUCUCUCUCUCUCUCUCUCUCUCUCUCUAUCUCUCGAUCUCGAUCUCGAUCUCGAGAUGGGUUCCAUGGAGACCCCAAUACCCUACGCCCCGGCGCACGAUAACGGCUCGGAGGAGGUGGAGGUGGAGGAGAAAGGGGAGGAGACGGAGAUGGGGCUGAACCCCGUGGAUCCAUUCCUUGUCGAGGCCCUCGAGAACCCUCGCCAUCGCCUCACCGGUAAAAUUGCGUGCUUGAGCUUAUUUGGUAGCUUAAUUGUUGGAUUAGAUGUUUCAUUUGAUUGUUCUGAUUAGGGAUUUACCAAGGUUUGAUGCAUAGGAGGUGGAAUUGGUUUGUAUGUUUGGGGAAUUUGGGCUUUGGGGGUUUGCUGAUUUGUGUUUUGAGGCGAAUUUGAUGGUUUGAGUCCGUUCCGACCUUGUUAUGCUUGCUCAUGGUGAUUUGUGAAGGUUUAUGAGGUUAAUUUCCGUUAGGUUAUUGAUAUGACGCUGAUGUAAAGGGCAACUUGGUUUAAUAGUAGGUUUGAGCUGGAUUACAAGCUCUGUGUUACCCAAAAGAUCGAUUUUGUUGGGUAACAUCUAACAUGGUACUAAACCCAACCCUAAGCUCCUGCCGUUUUAUAAUGUCAUGGGUCUGAUCCCCACCUUCAACAUCCAUUUGAUGCAUUUAUUUAAUGAGUUAAAUCUCUACUUGCCUCACCUAUGAUUUCACGUUCCUUUUGUAUCCAUCAUGCACAUGGGUGCGAAUUUAAUUUUUGGAGGGGCCAAAGAAAAAUUUAUUAUAAUAUUAUUUAUUUAAAAUUAGUAAUUAAUAGUUGUUUUUUUGGGAAAAAAAUGAUGUAAAACAAAGUUGGGAGGGGGGCCAUGGCCCCUGCCAGCCCCCCUUCUCUCCGUUCCUGCUUGAGUAAAGGCGGUGUGUGUAUAUAUAUAUAUAUAUAUAUAUAUAUGAGCCCGGCCGGGAUACUAUCGAUAACACCAAGGAUUUGGUGCUAUCGAGUUUUCCAUUGUUAGAUUUAACUCUUUGAUUAUUUUUACCCGUUAGAUUAUAUUAUUCAACCAACCACUCACUCAACCCUAAGGGGCCCACAUCAUCCUAACCACACAUUUCUCAAUUCAAGGAUUAAAAAACUAAUAGCACCAAUAGCUUGAUGCUAUUGAUAGUAUUCCAGCCUAGUUCUAUACAGCCUAGUUCUNAACCACUCACUCAUCCCUAGGGGGCCCACAUCAUCCUAUCCACACAUUUCUCAAUCCAAGAGCUAAAAAACUAAUAGCACCAAUAGCUUAGUGCUAUUGAUAAUAUUCUUCUAUAUAUAUAUAUAUAUUUGGGCCUGUAUCCUAUCAUAUCGAUCUUCUGGGUAACAUCAUGGAGAAGAGAUACUGCAGCUAAUACUUAGAUCAGCUCAACUCUCAUUGCUGUCAUUGUAUCUUGAGUCUAUGGUCAAGAAAGAUAUUUUCAGAUAUGUCCGAGGAAUCAUAAUUUCAUCCCACCAUUUACUUAUCUAUGUUUUAAGAUGCUUCGUAGGCUAUUUAUUGAGUACCUAAGCUAAAACACAAUUUCUUAAUGACAAAAGUUACAACAAUCACUAAUAAAUGUAGCUAUUGUAAUUUUUUUUAAAAUAAAAAUCUAGUUUUAAAGAGGUUUCAAAGGGGCAGUUUCUUCAUCUCUCACUUUCCAUUCCAUUUCCUCUUUGAGAGAAGUUGUCAAGAUUUCUAGAAUCAUAUGUCAGGUCAAAACAUAUAUCUUUCUGAAAUUUAGGUCAAUUCAAAGGCAUUUGUAUAAACAAAGAUUCUUUUAACUGGUUUGCUCCACUCAUGCUUGCUUACAGUGGAAUAGAAUGACAAAAUAUUUAGAACUUCCUUAGAAAAGCAUACUAGCAUAGAAUUUACAAUGGAGUGAAAUAAUUUUCUUGCCUUGAAUAAGAAUUUUCUGUUAAAAUCAACUUUCUCCACCUUAGUUGCAUGAGACUAAUCUAUGAAAAUAGUGGUAAACAAAACUUUCUUCUGUAUAUUGAAUAUCAAUGCAUUCUUACUCGAAUUGUUUUCCUUUCAGGAGAAAAAAAUACCCCAAACCUUAUUCCCUUAAAUUUACCCUUUAAUUAGAGUUAUCUUGAUAGUUCUGAAUAUAAACAAGAAACCUGUUUUGACCCCAAGGACCAACACUCGACAUGACAUAUUGCCAACUCGAAUUGACAAAAUUUUAUUUUCUGUUGGAGUCUAAAUACUAAAUAUAUUUAUACAUUAGCUAUCAUCUCCAUAAAUUCACUUCCAAUGUGUUGUUCCCAUGCUUGAGAUCACUUGGUGAAUCUUUUUGUCAUGAAUCUACUGGUUAACCUUUCUGACCUGAUGAUGCACCAAUAUUAUCCAAUAGGUGUGAUAACUUGUUACAUCCAUCGUAAUGCCUUCAAUUUGAUCUGGUAGAGAAUACAUGCCCAAUUGUUUUUGGAUAAGCAAUUUACUAUCUUCUUCAUUCUCUACUUCCUCCUAUUUUAUCUUUUCAUUGCAUAGUAUGGUUCCACACUGUGCGGCAGAUUUUCUAUCUUGCUGCUCUUCGAUAUCAUUUACUUCAAUUCCAUCGCUAUCAUAAUCUUUCUCUUUAUUUUAAAUGCCGUUAAUUUGCUUUGUAAAUUUAUGAAUUUUUGCUAUUAGGGGUUUGACAGGCAUAUCUUGUUUGAUGCUUUGGCCAGAUUAUCUAAACAUAUCUUUGGUUUCUAUUUAGUUUUCUUAUAAUUCGAGAUUUUCUAGGUCAAAUGUCAAAAGUAGCGAAUCAUCCUUUACAUGUUUCUUUCACAAUAUAAGAUCCUUCAUUACAAGUGAUGAAGCUUUAUCUCCUGAUAAAGAGACCUAUGCACGAAUAAUGAAUCUGUAGAUUAUUUGACUCGGACAAUACAAUUUCUAUUGAUGCCAAACUGAUGCAACCUGAUGUAUGCAGGAUGCUUGUAAGUCAUAGCUUUUUUUUUUUUGUGGNGGGGGGGCGGGGGGGAGGCGGGGUAGAAGAUAUUAGCAAGACAUGAACUUUACCAUUACUACCUUUUUGUAAAUUAGAUUUACUGAUGUAGAUUACAAAAGAAUCAAAUAGCUUUAUGAUGGAUUUUGAUGUUGUUAGUAUAAAUCUGUAGUAUAUAAGGCGUUUUCCCAGGUUUCAUAUAGAUUUCUGCUGCAAAAAUUAGAUUCAAUAAGCUGAAAUAAAAAAUAUCUAUGAUUAACUGAGUCUAAAGAAUCAGCCAUGCAACAAUGAAACUGCAGCAAGAAAAUGAUUAAAUUAGGUCGACUCGAGUAAAAGUUUAAUCAAGAAAAGGAGGAAGAAAAAGAGUUGGAGAGAGAAGCUCCACACCUAGGAAACC
RNAcentral lists this long non-coding RNA (20308 nucleotides) under Ananas comosus (pineapple). RNAcentral's name for it is "long non-coding RNA (ACOM_LNC007526)". Lineage: Eukaryota; Viridiplantae; Streptophyta; Magnoliopsida; Poales; Bromeliaceae. The record is from RNAcentral.